Long non-coding RNA from Lepus europaeus (European hare), 536 nucleotides. RefSeq lists it as uncharacterized. The transcript is spliced from 3 exons. The record is from RefSeq and is a predicted model, not a curated record. NCBI's taxonomy places the organism in Eukaryota, Metazoa, Chordata, Mammalia, Lagomorpha, Leporidae.
ACAUGUAAGCCAUAGACGCCAGCCACGGCUGCAUUUGUCCUAAUGCGUAGGAGUCCGCCACACCCCAAAUGGAGGGCCCAGGAAGAAAAAUGUGGAACCAGCCUGACGGCUCAGGAAAUCCCUGGCACACCCGUGGGUUCCCGCAGUCUGCCUGGCUCUGCAGCCCUCACGCCCGUCUUGAGCUGCCUGAGUCACUUCUCCCCACGCCCAGCUCUGCCUCUUUCUGAAUGGAGCGGAUUAUCAUAACACCAUAUGUCAGAAGAGCAAUUCACAAUUUACAAGGCCCCUUUCUGCACCAGCUUGCUUCUGAUCUUCCAUUGGGACUGCGAGGUUGAGCGGACAGCUCUCUGCUGUGGCCUGGGAAAGCAGUAGAAGAUGGCCCAAGUCCUUGGGCCCCUGCACACGCGUGAAAGACUGGGAAGAAGCACCUGGCUCCUGGCUUCGGAUCGGCGCAGCUCGGCCGUUGUGGCCAUCUGGGGAGUGGACCAAUGGAAGGAAGACCUUUCUCUCUGUCUCUUCCUCUCACUAUCUGUAAC